UGGGCCGUAGCUCAGUGGUAGAGUGCUUGCCUAACAUGUGAGACACUGGGUUUGAUCCUCAGCACCACAU
Molecule: transfer RNA, 70 nt
Filed under: Marmota monax (woodchuck)
Lineage: Eukaryota; Metazoa; Chordata; Mammalia; Rodentia; Sciuridae
Description: tRNA.Val
Source: RNAcentral